RNAcentral lists this ribosomal RNA (497 nucleotides) under uncultured bacterium. RNAcentral describes it as "partial 16S ribosomal RNA". It matches the Rfam family "Bacterial small subunit ribosomal RNA", at positions 28 to 507 of the family's 1533-position model. The record is from RNAcentral.
GAUGAACGCUGGCGGCGUGCCUAAUACAUGCAAGUCGAGCGAACAGAUGAGAAGCUUGCUCCUCUGACGUUAGCGGCGGACGGGUGAGUAACACGUGGAUAACCUACCUAUAAGACUGGGAUAACUUCGGGAAACCGGAGCUAAUACCGGAUAAUAUAUUGAACCGCAUGGUUCAAUAGUGAAAGACGGUCUUGCUGUCACUUAUAGAUGGAUCCGCGCCGCAUUAGCUAGUUGGUAAGGUAACGGCUUACCAAGGCAACGAUGCGUAGCCGACCUGAGAGGGUGAUCGGCCACACUGGAACUGAGACACGGUCCAGACUCCUACGGGAGGCAGCAGUAGGGAAUCUUCCGCAAUGGGCGAAAGCCUGACGGAGCAACGCCGCGUGAGUGAUGAAGGUCUUCGGAUCGUAAAACUCUGUUAUUAGGGAAGAACAAAUGUGUAAGUAACUAUGCACGUCUUGACGGUACCUAAUCAGAAAGCCACGGCUAACUACGUG